CUCCAUGUAGCUCAGCUGGAUAGAGCAAGAAUCUUCUAAGUUCUAGGUCGGGUGUUCAAAUCACUCCAUGGAGG
This 74-nucleotide transfer RNA is filed under the name Fletchervirus CPX. Its description in RNAcentral is "Campylobacter phage CPX tRNA". It matches the Rfam family "tRNA". From Rfam's summary of the family: Transfer RNA (tRNA) molecules are approximately 80 nucleotides in length. Their secondary structure includes four short double-helical elements and three loops (D, anti-codon, and T loops). RNAcentral also lists the same sequence under 3 other names. Lineage: Duplodnaviria; Heunggongvirae; Uroviricota; Caudoviricetes; Connertonviridae. The record is from Rfam by way of RNAcentral.